CACCUUCAUGGACAACAACCAGCAGCCCCGGUGACGCAGUGGUAGUGGCGGCAACAGAACCAAGGAGGACAUUCACUCUUUCCCCCUUUUCUGUCCCGACGCCACCAACCCGCGCCCUUCCGGGUCUGCUGGUUCGAAUCGCACCCAGGGCGAGCCAGGGACCGACCUGGUCCUAGGCCCGCCCUUGGGGUGUGUUUCGAGAAAACCCCGCCGGCAGGCCCAGCACGAAAGCUGUGGCGAGCAGGCAGGGGAGAGAUGUAGCACUUCUCGGCCCUGGCCCCUGAGCACUUCAUGGGUGAGGGGGCUGAGGGGUGUGAACUCUUUUUUUAUUUGUUUACUUGAUUAGAUUUACUAAAAAGACUGAGAGGUCUCAACUA
This 377-nucleotide small RNA is filed under the name Histoplasma capsulatum. RNAcentral describes it as "hypothetical RNA". RNAcentral also lists the same sequence under 1 other name. Lineage: Eukaryota; Fungi; Ascomycota; Eurotiomycetes; Onygenales; Ajellomycetaceae. The record is from RNAcentral.